Molecule: ribosomal RNA, 254 nt
Filed under: uncultured bacterium
Lineage: Bacteria
Description: partial 16S ribosomal RNA
Rfam family: Bacterial small subunit ribosomal RNA
Source: RNAcentral
UACGAAGGGGGGCUAGCGUUGCUCGGAUUUACUGGGCGUAAAGGGCGCGUAGGCGGACAGUUAAGUUGGGGGUGAAAGCCCGGGGCUCAACCUCGGAAUUGCCUUCAAUACUGGCUGUCUUGAGUGUGAGAGAGGUGUGUGGAACUCCGAGUGUAGAGGUGAAAUUCGUAGAUAUUCGGAAGAACACCAGUGGCGAAGGCGACACACUGGCUCACUACUGACGCUGAGGUACGAAAGCGUGGGGAGCAAACAGG